AAAUUUUGGCAGCUCAUAUACUAAAAUUGAAAUGAUACAGAAAUUAACAUGGCUCCUGUACAAAGAAGACACAAAUUUGUGAAGCAUUCCAUACUUAA
This 98-nucleotide small nuclear RNA is filed under the name Peromyscus maniculatus bairdii (prairie deer mouse). Lineage: Eukaryota; Metazoa; Chordata; Mammalia; Rodentia; Cricetidae. The record is from RNAcentral.